UAGCUCUAGCGACGCGCAAACACUCUCUCACGAAAAUGAAGAAGAAAAACAAGAAGAAAAACAAGAAGAGGAGGAAGAAGACGACACCGAUCGUCGUCUCGCCGGUGGCGUUCAAGCGUUCUUCGAGAGCUUUCUUUUUACUUCUUCUAAA
Molecule: non-coding RNA, 151 nt
Filed under: Bathycoccus prasinos
Lineage: Eukaryota; Viridiplantae; Chlorophyta; Mamiellophyceae; Mamiellales; Bathycoccaceae
Source: RNAcentral